CCUCCGCGCCGGACCCGCCACCGUGCACAGCCGCUCAGAUUUGCAGGACGCCGCUGCUUCCUCCACCAAUCUCCAGGUCAGAGAUCCAAGCCCAGCGAGGAGCAGGACUCCCGCCUAACUUUGGAGAGAAGCUUAGUUUGAAUAAGAAAUGAGGACGUUUGAUACCCACAGCCCUCUCUUGUGACGUCAUAAAGUCAAGACUACAUUUCCCACAACCCAGCGCGAAGGAUUUCCAGAAACUCAAAGAAGAGGAUUUGUACAGUUCCUUGUGUCCUGCUCAGCUGUGAAAGAGAAACAAACUUGCUUGUUAUGGUUUCAAGAAAGUUGGUGUGGGAGGAAGACAGGUGUGUGCCUGAGUUUUGGAGAGACCCUGUGACUCUUCCAACAAUGAGAUUGAAAGAAACUGGUUGGAAGCCUCUUAAGGGGCAGAGAGAAGUGCUCAGAUCCAGUGAAUGCACAGAUUACAGCAGCUCUUCAUGCUUUUCAGAGCCUCUUCAGAAGUGUGGAAUCCAGGCUCUCAUUUGGAUACAGAAUUGCUGUGAGCUGACCCUUCCAGGGAAGCAUCAAUCUCAUUGCAUUCAACAUCCGAACUCACUACUUUUAAGGACUCCACUCCACAUUGCCAUCAGUGAGGUAGAAUGCUGUAGUUGCUGACGGUGGAAGAGGAUGCCUCAUCCUCAGAGCUGACUUCCCAGCGGACUCCAGAGAAAGCCCCUCUUCACCAUCUGCUUGUCCGCUUCCCAAGAACUGUGAGCAUGAGAGGCAGGCCUCCAGCUACUGAAUGGGACUAGCGGCCAUUUCCUACGGUGCAGGAAGCUCGUGUCUGCCCCACAGCCCUCAUACUGGAUGCUCCUUACUGACUUCACCUCAUCUCCAGAUGCUCCUGUGGUCUCUAUGUACAGACUUGUCUUGGCAAAGCAUAGUUUGUGUCUUUAUAAGAGAGCCUUCUGAAAUUCUAGCUACAGUUAGAAUCAAUCAAUAGAUACCACACUUUCAAACCGGAAGCAAGUGAAAAUUGCUCAUCCUGGUUAAUUACACAUUUUCCUGAUGCCGGUGCCCACACUCUAUUUUGGGCAUUGCGUGAUUUACAUGUUACUUUGAAUAUUUCUAUAAGCCAUGUAUUUAAAACCAGACUAAUAAUGCAAAAAGAUUUAUAUUAAGCUCGGAGCCUCUAACUUAUGCACACGUAGUUAAAUUCUUAGCACAUACUGCCUCUAACAAAGCUUAUGUUCUGAACGUUUUUAUUUUUGAAUAUUAAUAAGAUAAAGCAGUGUGCUAAGUCUUAGCAUGCAUACAAAAUCUAUCUUGAGCAAUCUGGAGUAAUUUAAGAGAAACUGUCUUGCACAUUUUGUAACUUUUUCAAAGUAGAGAAGCACUGCAGAAGAGAAGGGCCUUGGGUUUUCUCAGAGCAGUGGUUCCUGGCACCCCCCAUGCUGCAAGCCUUUCACACAGUCCUGUGUUGGGAUGACCCACAGCUGUAAAAUUAGUUCAUCGCUACUUCUCAACUGCAAUUUUGCUACUGUUAUGAAUUGUAAUGUAAAUAUUGGAAAUGCAGGAUAUCUGCAGACCUGAGCGGUCACAUCCCACAGGUUGAGAACCACCAUCUCAGAGGCACACCAGCCAUUGCUCCUUUGCUAUAUAGAAGCUUUCUGAUCUGAGACAAUCUAUCUGUUCAGCAGUUACCUGUGAUUUGUGAAGCAUGUUCAAAUUAUUAAUUAUUGCAAAAGAUUGUAAUUUCUUUGGUGCUCUAAGCUCCUUUUUCAAAAAUCAGUUGUCUUGCACAUGUAGCCUUGGCUGUCCUGGACUUGCUUUGUAGACCAGGCUGGCCUCAAACUCAGAGAUCUGCCUGCCUCUGCCUCCCCAGUGCUGGGAGCAUGUGACACCGCUCCUGUCUGUGGCUUUACUUCUUUUACUUUCUUCUGUGGUCUUGUUCUACAUAUCUUGGUUUUUUGACAGUGCUACAGUUUUGUAGUAUAUUUUAGAGCCUGAUGAUCCAAUAGCACUUGAUUUGUUCAUAAUGCAUUCCAUUUAAAAACUGAUUAAAAGGUUAUAAAAUAAGAAUAGGCUUCAAAAAUAUGUGCAAAAUGCAUAGGAACAAAAUUCUAAACUGUUGCUAAGGGAUAUCUAUAAAAUUUGAGUAAAAAACAUCCUGUUUUUAUAUCACAAAAUGUUACGUUAUAGAAACCAGUUAAUAAUAAUGGGUCCAUGGAGCUGAUGGGCUAUCAGUAGCCGUACAAAGAAUUGUCUCUACAGGAACAGGCUAAGGAAUCUGCUAGCAAGUCAAACGUUAUCAAACAAUAUGUUUCCAAAACUUAAGACAGGGCCUGGGCAGAUGAGGACAUGACUUUGACCCCUAGAAUUCAUGCUAUUUUUUUUUAACUUUCCUAUAUGUGUACUGUAUUCAUAUCAUUUCUCCCCAAACUUCUAUUCCUCCAACUCUUCCCACAUCCCCUCCAAACCUUUUCAAGUUCAUGUGUUCUUUUCCUUUAAUUAUUACUGUUUUGUAUACACACACAUGAUAGGUAAAUAUAAAUAUAAUAUAGAUAUAAAAUAAACAUCCACAAGUAUAUGGCAGAUGUAAUAGAUAGAUAGAUAGAUAGAUAGAUAAGUAGAUAGACAGAGAUAUUAAAUAAAUACAGAAAUGCAAUCUGCUGAGUCCAUCUAGCACUGCUCAUUUGUCCACAUGUUAGGGCUGACCACUUGGUAUGAGGUAACCAAUUGGGAAGUUUAUCCCUGAAGAAAAUUGAUUCUCUUUUAGCAGUUACUAAUUGCCUAUGGGCCCUAUGGACUCACCCCGCCCCCAUGAAAGCGUGCACUGGUAAUCAUAAUAUUGAAGAGGGAGACACAAACACAUCCCAGGGGCUUUCUAGCCAGUCGACAUGCUUGGUGAAUUCCGAGUCAGUGAGAGAUCCUCAUGCAUGCACUCACAGUACACAUCCCACACCCAUUCAUACAUACUCGAUAGAACUGAAGACAGGACAGCUGGGACUGGAAUAUAGAUUUUCAAAUUUUUUUAUUUAUUACAAUUUAUUCACUUUGUAUCCUAGCUGUAGCCUCCUCCCUUAUCUUGUCCCAAUCCUGUCCUCCCUCCCUCUUCUCCUGCCCCUUCUGCAGUCCACUCAUAGAGGAGGUCCUCCUCUCCUUCUAUCUGACCCUAGUCUAUCAGGUUUCAUCAGGACUGGCUGCAUUAUCUUCCUCUGUGGCCUGGUAGGGCUGCUCCCCACCCCACCCCCCGCCCGCCAUCAGGGGGAGGUGAUCAAAGAGCCAGUCACUGAGUUCAUGUCAGAGACAGUCCCUAUUUCCCUUACUAUGGAACCCACUUGGACACUGAGCUGCCAUGGGCUACAUCUGUGCAGGGGUUCUAGGUUAUCUCCAUGAAUAGUCCUUGGUUGAAGUAUCAGUCUCAGAAAAGACCCCUGUGCCCUGACUUUUUGGUUCUGUUGCUCUCCUUGUGGAGCUCCUGUCCCCUCCAGGUCUUUCUAUCUCCUCCUUCUUUCAUAAGAUUUCCUGAACUCUACUCGUAGUUUGGCUAGAGUCUCUGCAUUGGCUUUCAGAGGACCUCUGUGGUAGGCUCCUGUCCUGUUUCCUGCUUUCUACAUUUUCCGAGGUCUAUCCUGCUUGCCUUUCUGAAUGAGGAUUGAUCAUCUUACCCACAGUUCUCCUUCUUGCUUAGCUUCUUUAGUAAUCCAACUAAAAAAUGGGGUACAGAACUAAACAGAAUUCUCAAUAGAGGAAUAUCAAAUGGCAGAGAAACGCUUAAAGAAAUGCUCAAUGUCCUUAGUCAUCAGGGAAAUGCAAGUCAAAACAACCCUGAGAUUUCACCUCACACCCAUUAGAAUGGCUAAGAUCAAAAACUCAAGUGACAACACAUGCUGAAGAGGAUGUGGAGAAAGAGGAACCCUCUUUUAUUGCUGGUGGGAAUGUAAACUUGUAUAACCACUUUGGAAAUCAAUCUGGCACUUUCUUAGACAGUUAGGAAUAGUGCUACAUCAAGAUCCAGCUAUCCUAGGCAUAUAUCCAAAAGAUGCUCAAGCAUACAACAGGACAUUUGCUCAACCAUGUUUGUAAUAGCCAGAACCUGAAAACAACCCAAAUGUCCCUCAGUUGAGGAAUGGAUACAGAAAUUGUGGUACAUUUACACAAUGGAACACUACUCAGCAAUUCAAAGCAAAGAAAUCAUGAAAUUUGCAGACAAAUGGUGGGAACUAGAAAAGAUCAUCCUGACUGAGGUAUCCCAGAAGCAGAAAGACACACAUGGUAUAUACUCACUCAUAAGUGGAUAUUGGACAUAUCAUAUAGGAUAAACAUACAAAAAUCUGUACACCUACAGAAGCAAAGCAAGAUAGAAUAUUGAUUUUAAGCACAUAAUUGAAAUGAUAAUGAUUAAAACUAUGUGGCAUUUAAGUUCUUUUUGUGUGUGUGUGUGUUUUUUUUCUGAUACAAGAUUUCUGUGUGUA
Long non-coding RNA from Meriones unguiculatus (Mongolian gerbil), 4457 nucleotides. RefSeq lists it as uncharacterized. Lineage: Eukaryota; Metazoa; Chordata; Mammalia; Rodentia; Muridae. The record is from RefSeq and is a predicted model, not a curated record. The transcript has 5 exons.